UGCACGCCUCUAUCAACCCUUAUCACAUACCUCCUGUAUUGAUAAGAUCCAUUCAUGGGUCGCACCCCUGAUCCCUUCCAUUGAACUUCCAUGAAACCAGUUUCUACACUGCAUCCACCUUCAAGGCUAUUCAUGCCAUUGUGAGGGAAGUCCGGCCUUCUCCCUUCUCUCUGGGUAUUUGCGUGUGUUCCCAAGAUACAGUGGAAGCCUAGGACGUGUUCAUCAGUGGUGAAAACCUACCACAGGGUCGUUCAUAACUCCCCUUGCACUUCCAUGAAACUGCCUUUCUACACACAUCUGCCCUUAAGGCUGUCUUGGCCUUUGGGAAGGAAUCGGUCUCUACCUUCUCUCCUCACAUUUGCGUGUGUUCUCAGGCCCUGUAGGAUGCGUUGGGUGAUAAAAUCACGGAUCAAAGCCACCAGAAAGUCGUGAUAACUUUCCCCCUUGAUCUCUCCAAAACUGCCUCUUUACGGCCUUCACACCACCAUGGGUCUUGGAUUGGGAAUCCGACCAACCUCUCUGUCUUUCUCUAUGUUUGUGUUUCUUUGAGUUUCAGGGCGUAGGAGGAAGCCCUGGCGUGCCUGCAAAGGCACGGACUUGCCUGCCUUUUAUAGAAGAAGGGGCAGUUACCUUUACAAAGGUUGCACCCUUUCGGUAUCAUUUCUGGCCAUUGAUUUAAUCAAUGGUCCAGAUCACACCCUUUCGCCUCUUGCAGUUACCAGACUUCCUGGAACUGCCAAACCACUCCUGGACAUGUCCAAAACAAGCCCACACGGAUUUCCCUAGCUCCUGGCUCAAUCCCAAGAGCCAACCAGCCCAUCGGCACACACGGGUCGCCCACAUGGCCCGGCCACUGUCCAGACCCGGCCCAACUGCCCAUGACUUGAACACUCAGUCCAGCUGAGUUGAGCUGAUCCCCAGCUGUCCCAGCUGAGUGAGCUAUACCAUCCAGCUCAGGGAGCUGACCUACAUUUCAGUGAGCUACAUCGAGCUGCACUACACUUCACCUAGCUGGUCGAGCUUGCUUACUGCAUCGCCCAGCUGUUAUACACUGUGUCCCACUUGCUUCCUUUAUCUUCUUCAAUCCUUCUAAGUCCCUUGGUCUAUUUCCAGACCUAGACUUAGUUCUCCCAUGAUCCAUUCUGAUCACUCACUUCAUCGAGCUUCCCCGAUCUCGUCCAGCUACCAGCUCCUUUGAGCUUGCCUCUGCCUUAUUUUGGUUAAGUUCCAGCUACCUGAUUCCCUUAACCACGUUUGGGCCAUGACACGCUUGUCUUUAGGUCAUGUGACCUGACUGGUGCGUCUCCUCGCACUAAGGUCUGUCCGGACGAUCCUAUCCAGGAUCGGGGAUGCUACAAGUCUCCCCCACUUAGAAUGGAUUCGUCCUCGAAUCCGGUGGUGCUGACGCCCUGCCUCAAGACUAAGGUUCCAAUCAAACUUUUUGCAUCCGGAACUUGGAGCAUGCUCGUUUGGUUCUUCCAAACCAAUUCAUUGCAUCUCCCUCCUUGUUCCUUCUCACUGAUCAUGUCUUGAUCAUCAUAUAUACAUGUCUACCCCACUUGAUAGAGAUUUAACCCAAAAUCUUAUCAAGUGGUCCAUCAAGCACCCAUACAAGGACAUGACUGGCGUCACUGACCCAACUCUCCAAGUUGCGGUCCUUGUAGACACCAAGUCCAUAUCUCUCUUUAGAAUGUCGUCUACUCUAGACUUCAUUCUUUUUCAGAUCUUAGUCCACGACUAGAUCAAAUUCAGUCCCUAGGAACAUACUGCGUACUCAAGUCUUAGUAGAUUCAACCAAUCUCUAAGCCACUCGAUGCACCAGCCAAGUCCUAGCGAACAUGUUCCAAUCUUUAGGCUGAUCACUCUACCAUGAGUUCUAACAGAUUGUUUUGUUCCCUUAAGUCCUUCCCGGACAAUAAGGUUUAUGAUUCCAGCCACCAAUUACUGGAUCAUUCCUUAACCAGCCACAGCCUCUCUCAGCUUGGCCAUAUUGCGACCUUAGUCCAUACUAGACUAGACCGCCUCAUCUUGACUCCGUCCAUUACUGGACUUCGUCAUAAUCCGAUCCUGGCCUUUCAUGGACUCGAUCACAUUCCGGUCCUGGUCCACUCAGGGACUCAACCAUUUUCAACCCGACCGUAGGCCUAUCUCCGAAUAGGUCGUCAUGUGAUCGUUGUCCCUUACUGGACUUGAUCAUUCUUAUUCCAACCUUAGGUCAAUCUCUGACUUGGUUGUGCUGCGAUCCUCAUCCCUCAUUGGACUUGAUCGACUUCAGCUCGGCCAUCUCGGCAGGAGCAAUACAAUAGGGAAUUUUGGACAUUGGGGCCGUCCCUGGUUCCAGUUCUAUUAUGAAUGGGUCCGACCUAUCAGGGGGAAUGCCCUGUAGUGACCUAAACACAUCAUGGAACUCUCGGACCAGCGGUAUUCCCUCCGGGUCACCACCCCCUACGACCUCCUUAGUGGCGAUUGUGGCCAGAUAGCUUCACAACCCUUCAUCAGCAUCCUCUCAACAUGGAUUGCUGACACCACCAAGCAUCCAGAGAUCGGACGUAUACCUUGGAACCUGAUCGGAGAUCCACACCCACUCUCAAACUGCACGCGCUCCCGGUGACAGUCAAGAGUGGCCCGAUUCUUUCCAAGCCAGUCCACGCCUAUCACAUCGUGAUUCUCAAGGCGGACAACAAUCAGAUCCGCAGGCAUUACCCUGUCUGUGAUCAACAAUCAGAUCCGCAGGCAUUACCCUGUAUGUGAUCAAUACCGGGAUGUCUCUAACCAGCCCUAGUGAAUCCAUCACCUGCCAACUGGCCGCAUUCACUAUGACAAGACAAUCCCAUGUUACAUCUGGAACAAACCCUUUCCGACCAUUCCUGGACUCACAACACUAUGUGUAGUUCCAGUAUCGAAAAGUACGUGUGUUUCCACACAACCGAUCAUUAAGUACUUAGAUGAGUAGGAUCUCGGUUUGAUCACACAUUUGGAAAACGUCCCAUACCAUUCUCCAAAGCAUCACACUUCUGUGAACGUCCCACACCAUUCACAAAAGUAUUUAUAGUAUACCUCAAUCCUCAUCAUACUAAGAUACUUAACAUCGUGUUUCCCAUUUCCUCCUGAAUUGAUCCAUUCCAUUCAAUCAAUCUUAAGAAAUCCUACCUUGACUUACACUCAGUCCAAGAUGAUCCAUCUGAUCACAAGCCCACUCAUGUACUAGCCAAGUAGCAUCUCCCUUAGACCAACAUGAACACCGCAUAUGCUCACUUGUUUAGAACGGUCACCAGGGAAUAACACUGACCUCCAAGAGAGUGCUGCACAUUUCUUUCAACCUAAGCCACUCUCUGGUCCAUGUUACUCCCCUUAUCCAGGUCGUCCAUACAAAGAUCUUGCAUUGCGUCCAUUGUCCAAUCCGUCUAUUACUCCCAAAUAACUAGAAAACUAACCUUUCUGUUUCAGGGUCUUGCCCUCGGAGAGUGCAUCUUGGCUAAUCCGGCUCAUCUUGGAACUUCCCCGUUCACAAGCAUGAAACCCAAACUUACCUCAACUCUCACUUGGCUCACCACAACUAAGGUUCCAAGUCAUCUCAGUUUUCAGAAAUAAUUUCGGUCUGGAACUCAACAUCUUUGAGCACUGUCCUUAACAGGAACAAGCAUGCUCUGAUACCAACUUGUAAGACCCGAUCCCGGCCGACUAGGCCGCGGUCGAUGCCUCACGUCGCUCGGUCCAUACACUGACCGAACCUCUAAAAAUUUUGCCCUUUAUUUAAAAAACAUCGCCCAUAGGCGAGGGCUAACUCAGAUCUUAGCUCAAGACUACCUUAGUCAUUCCCUAGCUUAGAUCAUUUCAACUUAUGCACAGCGGAAUAACAUCUAUCAUCCAUUGGACUAAAUCCAAUCUAAUACUUGUCCGGUCGAAUCACCUCAGCUAAUGGUUAGUAUACUCAACUACCAGCUAGCUCCAAGGUUGAUUCUGAACACGAACCAAGUCAUACAAAUCUGAGGUUCCGUUUCCCUAACAAUUCUAUCUAGAUCUAUGCAAAAUUGCUAGAUCGUACCUUUGCCACAUCCACGGAGUUUGUUAGCUCAUCGGCCCAGCUACUCUAGCUGAAUGAACUCAUAGACCAGCUGAUCGGGCUGUCACACUCGAACUUAGUUAGGACCGAGGUAUGGCCAGCUGCCAUAUACUGCGUCCAGCUCCUUUACACACACAAAACAACUCCCUUAGGUACUUAGUCAUUCAGCCAACCAUCCGCACAGACAUAAGUAACCCUUGAGAAGUCUUCAAACAGCUAAGGACAUGCAUCUGGCCCUUACCGGCUCAUGCACUGUCCCACAUCCUUUUGCCUUAUCAACUUAUGAUACCAAGUCCAGCUCAUGGACUAACAACGCCCAUCAGAUCCUGAGUCAAUCAACCAACCACCCCACAUGACCCAGAACUGAUGAGUCUUCACACGUACCUAACCGGCCAUGGAACCAUAUCCCAACGAAGCCGAUCAGUCCUCCUCUUACCACCGGUGCAUCCUUUGAUCAAUCAGAUCAGACACCUUGAUCCAUCAUCUAUGGAUCAGGUCGUCCAUCCUUACCCAUGAUCAGAUCACACACGGACUUCCUUGAAUAAUAACACCCAAGCUCAGUACUUAUGGUCCACGCCAUCAAGUACUAGCUAUACUCUUAUUCAUGGCUUACUGCUGGUUCCAAACAUAUUGGACCUUGCAAUCCACAUGGUUCCUCUAAUACCAGGACCCCCAUGUGCCUCUUCCAUGAGUCGGAUUAAUGGUUCACACAUGACCAAACCCAACACAACUCCAUCAGAUAAGCAUCAAUAUGCUCUCAGGUACAAAAAUGACCUCAUCCAAGUAUGCUCCAAAAACUAAUUAAAAUUCAUGAUUAUUCAUGAUAAUUCCCAACUAAGAGAAUGCCAUAAUCAGAAUUUUCAGAACCGGCCUCGAUCCUAUAGAUCUCGGCCAAAAUCAGCCAAACCGGCCAAAACUGGACAUCAUCAAAUCAAUUCCUAAAAAUUGAUUAAAAUACAUGAAAACUCAUGAUAAUUCAUAACUAAGAUAUUCCCAUAAUCAGAUUCCAAAGAAUCGACCCAGACCAUAUAGAUCCUGAUCAUGAACAGCCCGGCCAAGGCCAUGGGCACCAUUCCUGAACCGGCCAAGGCCUUGGUUCAGUGACAUCAGGCCUGAUCCAACAGACUACACCAUAAACAUUCCUAAUAUAUAUAGUCCUCAAGGACGUGCCAUACUUGGCCAUGAUCAAUUCCACAGUCAACAGAAUUGUAAUUCAAAGGUAAUCAUAAAACCGGUUACCUUAUACAUGAUCUGAUUAGAUCAUGUGCCUUUCCUUAUUAUGUUCGGCCAUGCUCCUCCAGUGCACGACUCUAUCAAUCCUUAUCACAUACCUCCUGUAUUGAUAAGAUCCAUUCAUGGGUCGCACCCCUGAUCCCUUCCAUUGAACUUCCAUGAAACCAGUUUCUACACUGCAUCCACCUUCAAGGCUAUUCAUGCCAUUGUGAGGGAAGUCCGGCCUUCUCCCUUCUCUCCUGGGUAUUUGCGUGUGUUCCCAAGAUACAGUGGA
This 5570-nucleotide long non-coding RNA is filed under the name Brassica rapa (field mustard). RNAcentral describes it as "long non-coding RNA (BRAP_LNC008960)". Lineage: Eukaryota; Viridiplantae; Streptophyta; Magnoliopsida; Brassicales; Brassicaceae. The record is from RNAcentral.